RNAcentral lists this non-coding RNA (31 nucleotides) under Homo sapiens (human). The record is from RNAcentral. Lineage: Eukaryota; Metazoa; Chordata; Mammalia; Primates; Hominidae.
GGGAAACCCACAUCUCUUUCCUAAUAGGACU